RNAcentral lists this transfer RNA (69 nucleotides) under Ctenophorus sp. nguyarna. RNAcentral's name for it is "tRNA-Ile". Lineage: Eukaryota; Metazoa; Chordata; Lepidosauria; Squamata; Agamidae. The record is from RNAcentral.
GGAAGCGUGCCUGAGACAUAAGGGCUACUUUGAUAAAGUAUAUACGGAACCAAUAACAUUCCCGCCUCC